UACGGAGGGUGCAAGCGUUGUCCGGAAUCACUGGGCGUAAAGGGCGCGUAGGCGGUGAUAUGAGUGUGAUGUGAAAGCCCCGGGCUUAACCUGGGAAGUGCAUCGCAAACGAUAUGACCAGAGUAUAUGAGAGGGUGGCGGAAUUUCCGGUGUAGCGGUGAAAUGCGUAGAGAUCGGAAGGAACGUCAAUGGCGAAGGCAGCCACCUGGCAUCAUACUGACGCUGAGGCGCGAAAGCGUGGGGAGCGAACAGG
Molecule: ribosomal RNA, 253 nt
Filed under: uncultured bacterium
Lineage: Bacteria
Description: partial 16S ribosomal RNA
Rfam family: Bacterial small subunit ribosomal RNA
Source: RNAcentral